This is a non-coding RNA of Arvicanthis niloticus (Nile rat), 4013 nucleotides long. Lineage: Eukaryota; Metazoa; Chordata; Mammalia; Rodentia; Muridae. The record is from RefSeq and is a predicted model, not a curated record.
GUCGCCCAGCUCCACCAGGACCUGCUAUCCACAGGAACCUUUCACAACAGCCAUUACCUGCAGGGCAACAAAGAAUCAAAUGAGAGGAAGACAAUCUGGGAGCGGAGUCCUGGCUGGCAGAUGGGCGCGGAUGAAAACACAGUGAGAUGAGUCAGAAAACGGCCAAGGAGGGCCCCAGGCUCUCCAAGAACCAGAAGUUCACAGAGCACUUCAGCAUCCACUGUUGUCCACCCUUCACCUUCCUCAACUCCAAGCGUGAGAUCGUGGACCGCAAGUACAGCAUCUGCAAGAGCGGUUGCUUUUACCAGAAGAAGGAGGAAGACUGGAUCUGCUGCGCCUGCCAGAAGAGCAGCCGCCGUGCCACGUCCCCUCAGAGGCCCAAGCACCAGCCAGCUGCGUCCCCCGUGGUGGUCAGAGCGCCGCCAGCCAAGCCAAAGUCCCCUCCGAGGCCAGCCAAGCCAAGGUCCCCUCCGAGGCCAGCCAAGCCAAGGUCCCCUUCAAGGACUGAGCGCCAGCCACGUCCCCGCCCAGAGGUCCGACCACCACCAGCCAAGCAGAAGCCCCCUCAGAAGUCUAAGCAGCCAGCAAGCAGCAGCCCCCUCAGAGGGCCAGGCACCAGCCGCGGGGGGUCUCCCACCAGAGCUGCUAGGUUCUGGUAACACCAUCUCUUGCCUAUUGUCUCCCCCUAGCCCAAGAUUGAGAAGGAGGAGCAGGUCAACCCCAAGAAAAAAGUGACCGAGAAGGGACUUCUCGUGAAUGGAGACCCUCUGCCUGUGGACUUACUGCUUUCCCGAAACCCAUCUGCCCUCAGACGAAUUAUCUGGCCUCGAGUAUGAUGCAGGGGUGGCUGCCUGCUGAUGUAACAACCACAGAUGUCCUCAGUCCCCAAGGUGUGGGAGCCUUAGGACAGCCUGCCUGGAGCACUUGGACGAUGCCAUCUCAUCACCUCCCUCUAUAACCACCAACAAGACAUCUGUCAGCCUUCUUGACCCUCUAUGGACUCAGGUUCUUCAGUCUGAAGAUUCUUGUGUCUUCAGGGAUGUGCAAAACAAGGUCAAGGUGCAUGACCAUCCAAACGGCAAAUAUAAAAAAGAAAUUGUCAAUGGUUGGCGGUGAUGUAAGAAAAAUCCUAGCAGCUAUGGCUGGGGAUUUAUACAUUGUCACUACACCACUGAGCUGUACUCUGGGGACACUAUCAAGGCAAAGUAUCUUAAAACUGCUAAUCAAGUGACUGUAGUUUUAGGCAUCCACCCUGGAGAAAAUUUACACCCUUUUAGAGAAAGGAAAAACGCAGAAAUUUGUUUAAAAGAUUGUGGUUUGUGGUUGAGAGGUAGAGUAAAAUUAACCAAAAUGUCUGUCCAUGGGGGAAUGAGAGAAUCAAUUUUGGGAUAUUCACAAAUAAAGUCCUAACAGCAGUUAAAAGCCUAUCUGUUAGAUAGACCCAUGCCAAGCAAAUAAAUCUAGAAAGCAAACCGAGGACUAGGAAAAUCAAGUAUUGGGCAGUAAAUCCAUUAUAACAUCCUAUGCAUAAAUAUUGACAGCUCACAAUUCUAUAUUGGAUAUUGCUUAAUAAGGAGAAGCCACAAGAUCUCAUACUUUUUCUAUAAUGCAAUAGAAUUUAAAAAAUGACAGCAGAACACAAAGACACUAGAAAUUAUCCUGUCAGAAAUAAAAGUAUAAGAAAUAAUUCCUGGCUGAGGAAAUAACCUAGAUUAAAAGCUACACAGGCAUGGCUUAACGAUACUGGCAGGGCAUACCUUUGUUUGGAGAGGGUCAGUGCAAAGUUUGUGAACAACCUGGGAUGUUUCCAAGGUUGUCUAAAUCUUAAACACCAAAAACAUUUGUUUUAAAUCAAUUUUGGGUCUGGGCUAUAGAGUCCCGCUUGUUCCUGACACGGGUGAAAAGGGAACAAAUUGAAAAACGGCUCUCGAAUUUUCCUUUAAGAAACAGGUAGGUAGGAAAGGACAAAAGAAUGUUGGGGAAUGUGGAGGAAUGUAAAACAGACAAUAUUAUGGUCUGUGUGUGGGGGGAGGGACUCAGUAUAGGGACAAUAAGAACACCAGAAUGGCCUUGUGCUGGGAGCCCCGGUGGCCAAGCACAGGCAGAUGCUCUAAGACCCUCAAAGGCCACCGUUUCGUCCUCACAGCCAGACCUGGCAAAGUUCAGAUUAAGUGCACGGAUCGGGGCCAUGCGGAAACUGUCCAAGGCGUGGAGCAGGGGUGAGGAAGACAGCCAGGAGGAAGCAAGAGAUGGCUCAGAGUGUUGUGGACAGCAAGAAGAGAAACAGGCCAACUAUCUCCCAAGGCAGCAGAGGGGCGUGGCUUCCUCUCCCGAGGACACUGUGGCCCUGUGGGAAGUGCCAAGGCAGAGGCAGGGGAAUUUAACUGCACAAACACUACAUGUAAAAACUCAGGUGCUAAAUGAACAUCUAUGUGACAACCUUUCUGAGGACCAGGUUCCAGUGAGCUGCCCAGGGCCAUUACCUUCCCGACGGUAACUGAGCUGAGAAGGAUGGGAACAGGAUAGGAGCACACAGUAGUCCACUGGUGAGACAAAUUCCCAGGCUAGCCUCAUCCAACCCUUUAAGGAAACUUCAUGCUUUUUUCACCUUGUCUUCAUUUUGGCAAAGCAAAGCCCAUCCUGAGUGCUCGCUUGUCUCUGCCCUCCAUGGCCCGGAGACACAGAGCAUGCGCAUUAACCAUGCGCAUUAACUAACCUAUGCAAACACUGGAUGUUAGCCCACUAAUGUGAAUAACCAGAAACUACUAAAUUUUGUUUGUUGUAGAAAUAAAACCUGGGGAUGGAUCAAACCUAUUUGGAGAUUGCUUGAAGCUGGUGGGUCACGAAGCAUACGGUGCAUCGUCACUGAAUCGCGUUGUAAUCAUUACAUACUGUUUUUCUACUUAACAUUGGUUCUCAGGAACAUUCCCCAGUAAAUACUGGAGACAUUUCAUAAAACUCCAAAAGCUGUUCUUCAUAAAUUUCUUGAGUAGCAAUUCAAAGCCACAAUGUCUGACAUGAUUCUGGGUGUUAAUUAAUCUUUUGGGAGAAACUGAGGCAUGUGCCUGGAGUUGUUGGGGUCUCCAGGUAAAAAGUGUCAUAGCAUCUACUAAUUCCCAUGAUGUAAAUGUUCCCACUGUGACGAUUUUCAUUGUAUGAAUGGGAAGAGAUGGCUGCACUGGUUCGCAAGCAUAGUUCCUUGCUCUCUCAUGUCUCACAGUUCCCUGUUGUCAUCCACGUACACCGGCUGGUGCAAGGCAGAUAACUAACUACCUGUGGGCCUCUAUAUAAGCAGAGUUUACUCCCCAAAGUCAUGGGCUGGGGAGACAGGUCAGUGGUUAGAGCACUGGCUGCUCUUCCAGAGGACCCGAGUACAGUUCUCAGCACCCCCAUGGUGGCUCACAACCAUCCAUAAGUACUAGGUACUGGGCAUUGGAUGCCCCCUUCUGGCCUCCAUGGGUACUGUACAGAUAAGGUGCACAUACAUACGUGUAGACAAAACACUCAUAUACAUAACAUAAAAUAAAAAAUGUGUAUCUAGUACAUAGUGUCGCUACCAAAGAAAAGUUAUAUAGGGUAUAUAAGAUAAACUCAGGUUUUGGAGCUUCAAUGGAGAAAUCUGACAAGAUUAAAAAAUUGUUUUUAUUGACAGGGUCCCUCUCUGUAGCCCUGGGCUAGCCUAACACACACUCAUAGACUAAGUUGGCCUCCAACUCACAGAUAUCUGCCUGCCUCAACAUGGGAUUUUUUUUUUUUAAUUUGAGAAAUGGCAUUUGUUUCUAUUUUACUCAUGACUACUGUUAUUCUUUUUAAAAAAUUGUUUUUAAAGUUAGCACACACAGUGAUGGAUUUCGUAGUGAUGUUUUCAUUUAUGUAUGAAAUACAACAUACCUGUCCUAAUAUUUUGUUCUUAUUCCCUCUCACCCCCAUGCCAGUUCCUUGUCUGUGCCAACUCUUCCCACUCCUGCCGUCAUGUGACGGUCACACACAGCUCACUAAAGUCUGCAGCUCUC